Molecule: small nucleolar RNA, 138 nt
Organism: Tachyglossus aculeatus (Australian echidna)
Lineage: Eukaryota; Metazoa; Chordata; Mammalia; Monotremata; Tachyglossidae
Source: RefSeq, a predicted model, not a curated record
CACCUCUCAGGUUCGCAAUUAGAGAGUUUCCAGUGCACUACCAGUCUCGACUAUGGGAGGGAGAGUCAAGCAGAGGCCUAACCAUACCAUUCCUAGCUUGGCCAGUGGCUAGCGAGUGGAAGGCAAUCUGCUACAAGU